AGGCGGGCACCCGCGCAAGUGCGGCCUGGGCCCAGGCGGCACACGCGGGAGCAGGCGCACACGACCGCAUGUGGGUGUCCAACAAUAUCCCAAUCCAUGAUGGAUCGGGCUGUGCAUGAGUGGGCGCAUGGAUCGGGCGCCUGUUUUCCAUAGGUUUCUCAUGGUCCAUGAUGGAUCGGAGGUUUUACAGAGCCAAUUCCCGCAGUCCACGAUGGGUUCUCAUGGAUCGGUG
RNAcentral lists this long non-coding RNA (232 nucleotides) under Elaeis guineensis (African oil palm). RNAcentral describes it as "long non-coding RNA (EGUI_LNC001858)". The record is from RNAcentral. Lineage: Eukaryota; Viridiplantae; Streptophyta; Magnoliopsida; Arecales; Arecaceae.